This 403-nucleotide long non-coding RNA is filed under the name Gossypium raimondii (Peruvian cotton). RNAcentral's name for it is "long non-coding RNA (GRAI_LNC000451)". Lineage: Eukaryota; Viridiplantae; Streptophyta; Magnoliopsida; Malvales; Malvaceae. The record is from RNAcentral.
UUGGGGGCUUUUAUUUUGCAACUAGGGCGGCUAGAGUUUAUGUUGUAGUAGAAGUCUGAGGGUGGAGGAGUUGAUUUGGUCAUAGAGAGAUUGAGGGAGUAAGUUGUGGAGAAGAUUAUAGAGAGAUUGGGGGAGUGAAUCAAGGAAGUUGGAGUGUGGGGGAAUGUUUGUGCCGUUUGGGGAGUUUUGGUUGUGCAAUUCGGCUAAGGAGGGGAAUUUGGGGUAAUGCAUUUCAUUUUUGGUCAGUAUAGGUGUCGAAUUUUCUCUCUAUUUUUUGUGAGUUUUGGUUUUUCUUUCUUUUUCUCUUAGAGUCGAACUAGAAUUAACCAUACGUGCAUCUUUUUGUCAAGUUUCUGCUAGUCUUUUUGAGCUACGAAAUUGUCCAUACGUGCCUUUUCUUUUC